Molecule: ribosomal RNA, 818 nt
Filed under: uncultured Alphaproteobacteria bacterium
Lineage: Bacteria; Pseudomonadati; Pseudomonadota; Alphaproteobacteria
Description: bacterial SSU rRNA
Rfam family: Bacterial small subunit ribosomal RNA
Source: RNAcentral
CAAGUCGAACGCAAGGCUUCGGCCUUGAGUGGCGCACGGGUGAGUAGCGCGUGGGAACCUGCCCUGGAGUGGGGGAUAACCGAGGGAAACUUCGGCUAAUACCGCAUGCGCCCGGAGCAAUCCGGGGAAAGAUUUAUCGCUCUAGGAGGGGCCCGCGUCGGAUUAGCUAGUUGGUGGGGUAACGGCCUACCAAGGCGAUGAUCCGUAGCUGGUCUGAGAGGAUGAUCAGCCACACUGGGACUGAGACACGGCCCAGACUCCUACGGGAGGCAGCAGUGGGGAAUAUUGGACAAUGGGCGAAAGCCUGAUCCAGCAAUGCCGCGUGAGUGAGGAAGGCCUUAGGGUUGUAAAGCUCUUUCGGCGGGGACGAUGAUGACGGUACCCGCAGAAGAAGCCCCGGCUAACUUCGUGCCAGCAGCCGCGGUAAUACGAAGGGGGCGAGCGUUGUUCGGAUUUACUGGGCGUAAAGGGCGCGCAGGCGGUUCUGUUUGUCGAGUGUGAAAGCCCCGGGCUCAACCUGGGAACUGCGCUCGAAACGGCGGAACUAGAGUUCGGGAGAGGAGAGUGGAAUUCCCAGUGUAGAGGUGAAAUUCGUAGAUAUUGGGAAGAACACCGGUGGCGAAGGCGGCUCUCUGGACCGAUACUGACGCUGAGGCGCGAAAGCGUGGGGAGCAAACAGGAUUAGAUACCCUGGUAGUCCACGCUGUAAACGAUGUGUGCUAGACGUUGGGGAGCCUAGCUCUUCGGUGUCGCAGCUAACGCGGUAAGCACACCGCCUGGGGAGUACGGCCGCAAGGUUAGAACUCAAAGGAAUUGAC